GUGCCAGCCGCCGCGGUAAUACGUAGGGGGCAAGCGUUGUCCGGAUUUAUUGGGCGUAAAGCGCUCGCAGGCGGCCCGAUGCGUCGUGCGUGAAAGGCCCCGGCUCAACCGGGGGCGGUCGUGCGAUACGGUCGGGCUGGAGGCCAGUAGGGGGACGCGGAAUUCCGGGUGUAGUGGUGGAAUGCGUAGAGAUCCGGAGGAACACCAGCGGCGAAGGCGGCGUCCUGGACUGGGCCUGACGCUCAGGAGCGAAAGCGUGGGGAGCGAUCCGGAUUAGAUACCCGAGUAGUCC
RNAcentral lists this ribosomal RNA (292 nucleotides) under uncultured bacterium. RNAcentral's name for it is "partial 16S ribosomal RNA". It matches the Rfam family "Bacterial small subunit ribosomal RNA", at positions 505 to 796 of the family's 1533-position model. The record is from RNAcentral.